This 374-nucleotide ribosomal RNA is filed under the name uncultured bacterium. RNAcentral describes it as "bacterial SSU rRNA". It matches the Rfam family "Bacterial small subunit ribosomal RNA", at positions 524 to 898 of the family's 1533-position model. The record is from RNAcentral.
UACGUAGGGUGCGAGCGUUAAUCGGAAUUACUGGGCGUAAAGCGUGCGCAGGCGGUUAUGUAAGACAGAUGUGAAAUCCCCGGGCUCAACCUGGGAACUGCAUUUGUGACUGCAUGACUGGAGUGCGGCAGAGGGGGAUGGAAUUCCGCGUGUAGCAGUGAAAUGCGUAGAUAUGCGGAGGAACACCGAUGGCGAAGGCAAUCCCCUGGGCCUGCACUGACGCUAAUGCACGAAAGCGUGGGGAGCAAACAGGAUUAGAUACCCUGGUAGUCCACGCCCUAAACGAUGUCAACUGGUUGUUGGACGGCUUGCUGUUCAGUAACGAAGCUAACGCGUGAAGUUGACCGCCUGGGGAGUACGGCCGCAAGGUUGAA